This 486-nucleotide ribosomal RNA is filed under the name uncultured bacterium. RNAcentral's name for it is "bacterial SSU rRNA". It matches the Rfam family "Bacterial small subunit ribosomal RNA", at positions 29 to 507 of the family's 1533-position model. The record is from RNAcentral.
AUGAACGCUGGCGGCGUGCCUAACACAUGCAAGUCGAACGGAGAUACGAUGUGAGCGAGAGGUGCUUGCACUGAUUAAUCUUUCGUAUCUUAGUGGCGGACGGGUGAGUAACGCGUGGGUAACCUGCCUCAUACAGGGGGAUAACAGUUGGAAACGACUGCUAAUACCGCAUAAGCGCACAGUACCGCAUGGUACCGUGUGAAAAACUCCGGUGGUAUGAGAUGGACCCGCGUCUGAUUAGCUAGUUGGUGGGGUAACGGCCUACCAAGGCGACGAUCAGUAGCCGACCUGAGAGGGUGACCGGCCACAUUGGGACUGAGACACGGCCCAAACUCCUACGGGAGGCAGCAGUGGGGAAUAUUGCACAAUGGGGGAAACCCUGAUGCAGCAACGCCGCGUGAGUGAAGAAGUAUUUCGGUAUGUAAAGCUCUAUCAGCAGGGAAGAAAAUGACGGUACCUGACUAAGAAGCCCCGGCUAACUACGUG